RNAcentral lists this long non-coding RNA (553 nucleotides) under Gallus gallus (chicken). RNAcentral describes it as "long non-coding RNA NONGGAT001564". The record is from RNAcentral. Lineage: Eukaryota; Metazoa; Chordata; Aves; Galliformes; Phasianidae.
GGUUCGGUUUUUUGUUUUCCUUUUCUAAGGUGAGCAGAACAAAAUGCUGAACAUUCUGCAGAAAAGUGAUUUUUCCCUGUACAGAAAAUGAGUUAAACCUGCUGAAUAAAAGGCCCCAUUUCAGAGCUAAAAGAUAGAGAAAGUAAAACCUGGAUUCAUGCUAAGUUUGUGGCUCCCUGUGAAUUGAAAAGUGGUAUUUUUCUAUAACAACAACAAAAAAAUUAAAUGCUUACUUCCAGCUACUCAGAAGCUGAGCAUUUCACUCCCAGCAAAGCAAGUCAGCCAGCAGUUUUACUCAGAGAUCUUCCAGCAACAAAGGGGGAAUGGUAGGGGGGGCAGCGGAACACGACAGUGGAUUCCAUCAGCCUGCCUACCUCACAAGCCUCAGCAGCACUGCAGGAGAUUCCAGCUGCUCCAACUCGCUGCUUGACCACACGUUUCUGUCCCCAUCACACACCAACCUGACGACCGAGUUCACCCAACAGUUUGCUCUAGGAGACUUCGUGGUCUUUAAGAACAGAGGAGAAGGAAGGAAAUAACAGCACUGAAAAAU